CCAUCUGCCAGUAUUUUACGAACUACGAAGACGAUAAUGUAUUUUGCUUGAUCAAAUUUUCAAAAUUUCCGCAAUUUCACAAUUCAAACUGGGAUAUUAAAGCCUUCAAUUGGUUUGCCAUUAGGAGCCUAUAAGGUAGUAAUUUUGCUUAUUUGUGAAGACUAUAAGGUGACAUUAACUAGAGGCCGUUGAUGGGGGAUUAUGGAAUUGAGAAUAGUGGACAAAAAAUAUAAAUAAUAGAGACAAUGGACCAAGAAAUAAAUAAAAUAGCUAGAAUAAUGGUGUUAAAAUGUAAUGAGAAGAGAAUAAUUGUCAAAAAGUAUAAAGAAUAGAGAAAAAUGGCCUCAAAUAUCAAAGAAUACAGAAAUUAAGAACCCCGAAUCCAGACAAUCAUACCGGUUGCCUUAAUGAACGUUAGUUUGUCUCUGGGAGAUAGUUAUUGGUUAUCAUACGGUUUCUCUUUAUUUCUAUGUCUAUUAAUUAAGAAGCAUGCUUUCAUUAUUUGCCAACAUUUUACAUAUCACAUUAUAAGAAAAAGACUAUUAUUUUGCAAACUACAUAGAUUUCCGGUAAUUGUUCUGCAUAGACCACACCACAUUGGAGUCCCUGUAAAAAAAUUUCAAGUGGACCUCAGUUACCCAC
This 642-nucleotide long non-coding RNA is filed under the name Mytilus galloprovincialis (Mediterranean mussel). Lineage: Eukaryota; Metazoa; Mollusca; Bivalvia; Mytilida; Mytilidae. The record is from RNAcentral.